RNAcentral lists this ribosomal RNA (902 nucleotides) under uncultured bacterium. RNAcentral describes it as "bacterial SSU rRNA". It matches the Rfam family "Bacterial small subunit ribosomal RNA", at positions 8 to 916 of the family's 1533-position model. The record is from RNAcentral.
AGAGUUUGAUCCUGGCUCAGAAUGAACGUUGGCGGCGUGGAUUAGGCAUGCAAGUCGUGCGAGAAGUCUUUUGCUUGCAUUAGACGGAAAGCGGCGAAAGGGAGAGUAACGCGUGGGUACCUACCUCUAGGUUCGGGAUAGCUGCGGGAAACUGUGGGUAAUACCGAAUAACAUCUCCGGAUCAAAGGUGUGAUUCCGCCUGGAGACGGGCCCGCGUCCUAUUAGCUUGUUGGUGGGGUAAUGGCUUACCAAGGCAAUGAUGGGUAUCGGGCGUGAGAGCGUGACCCGACUCACUGGGACUGAGACACUGCCCAGACACCUACGGGUGGCUGCAGUCGAGAAUCUUCGGCAAUGGGCGCAAGCCUGACCGAGCGACGCCGCGUGCGGGAUGAAGGCCCUCGGGUUGUAAACCGCUGUCAGUUGGGAGGAAAUCACAUGGGGUUCUCUCCAUGUGUUGACCUAUCUUCAGAGGAAGGACGGGCUAAGUUCGUGCCAGCAGCCGCGGUAAGACGAACCGUCCAAACGUUAUUCGGAAUUACUGGGCUUAAAGGGUGCGUAGGCGGCUUCGCAAGUUGGGUGUGAAAUCCCUCGGCUCAACCGAGGAAUGGCGCCCAAAACUGCGGAGCUCGAGGGAGACAGAGGUGAGUGGAACUUGUGGUGGAGCGGUGAAAUGCGUUGAUAUCACAAGGAACACCGGUGGCGAAAGCGGCUCACUGGGUCUUUUCUGACGCUGAGGCACGAAAGCUGGGGGAGCGAACGGGAUUAGAUACCCCGGUAGUCCCCGCUGUAAACGAUGAGCACUAGAUCGAAGGGUCCUCCAUAGCCUUUCGGUCGUAGCGAAAGUGUUAAGUGCUCCGCCUGGGGAGUAUGGUCGCAAGGUUAAAACUCAAAGGAAUUGACGG